This 216-nucleotide long non-coding RNA is filed under the name Nicotiana benthamiana. RNAcentral describes it as "long non-coding RNA (NBEN_LNC006399)". The record is from RNAcentral. Lineage: Eukaryota; Viridiplantae; Streptophyta; Magnoliopsida; Solanales; Solanaceae.
GACAUAACUCUUGUAACUCUUGUCUCUUGGGUUAUGUAACUCGUAGAGUUAUAAAGUGGGGGUUAUGGUUCCCACAUUAGUGCAAGACAAGUUCUUCUUCCCCCCCAUUGAAUCAAGAACCAAACAAUCCAUUGUCUUGCAAAUAGUGUGGAAAACCAUAAGCCAAAUUUUGAUUAUUGUCAUAACACUAUUAUUGUGAACCUUUCAUAUAUUNNN